RNAcentral lists this long non-coding RNA (541 nucleotides) under Nicotiana benthamiana. Its description in RNAcentral is "long non-coding RNA (NBEN_LNC021645)". Lineage: Eukaryota; Viridiplantae; Streptophyta; Magnoliopsida; Solanales; Solanaceae. The record is from RNAcentral.
UUUUUGCUAUAAAUAGAGGUGUUUGCAUUCAUUGUAAAUCAUCACAAAAAUUAGAGUGUUCAUUACCAAGAAGAGUAAGAACAAGAGUGAUCCUAGAGAGUGAUCCUCGUUUGUGAGUUUUGAGAGUUUUUUUUUAUGAGUUUUGUAAAUACUCGUAUAAUCUAUUCUUGUGAGUAAUAGAGGUUGUUUUUCUCUCAAAUUUGUGUUUACCAACGCCCAAUCGAUUCUCAUACCCCCAACAAGUCGUGUGAUCUAUUCUUGUGAGUAAUAGAGGUUGUUUUUCUCUCAAAUUUGUGUUUACCAACGCUUAAUCGAUCCACAUACCCCAACAAGUAGUAUCAGAGCAAGGUUAGAGGCGUUGAUCGAGUUUUUAGGUGACGUGCCAAAUUUGAGUUUUCGGAGCUUUGCUCGAAAUCCAAUUCUGAUGGCACCAUUGGAUUCGUAUCGUCGAACGGAGUCCAACGCACCAAACAACGACCUAAUCGGAGUUCAAACGAGCCCAGAAAUCGCGGUCAAAGUUUGGUCAACUUUGCUGGAGGCU